Molecule: ribosomal RNA, 468 nt
Filed under: uncultured bacterium
Lineage: Bacteria
Description: partial 16S ribosomal RNA
Rfam family: Bacterial small subunit ribosomal RNA
Source: RNAcentral
GACGAACGCUGGCGGCGUGCUUAACACAUGCAAGUCGAACGGAAAGGCCCUGCUUUUGUGGGGUGCUCGAGUGGCGAACGGGUGAGUAACACGUGAGUAAACUGCACUUGACUUUGGGAUAACUUCAGGAAAAUGGGGCUAAUACCGGAUAGGAGCUACUGAUGCACGGUGGGGGUUGGAAAGUUUCGGCGGUUGUGGAUGGACUCGCGGCUUAUCAGCUUGUUGGGGGGGUAGUGGCUUACCAGGGCUUUGACGGGUAGCCGGCCUGGGAGGGUGACCGGCCACAUGGGGCCUGCGAUACGGCCCAGACGCCUACGGGAGGCAGCGGUGGGGAAUAUUGCACAGUGGGCGGAAGCCUGAUGCAGCAACGCCGCGUGCGGGAUGACGGCCUUCGGGUUGUAAACCGCUUUCGCCGGUGACGAAGCGUGAGUGACGGUAAUGGGUAAAGAAGCACCGGCUAACUACGUG